CAGCCGCCGCGGGAAUACAGAGGGUGCGAGCGUUAAUCGGAUUUACUGGGCGUAAAGCGUGUGUAGGUUGUUGUUCAAGUCAGUUGUGAAAUCCCUGGGCUCAACCUGGGAACUGCUUCUGAGACUGAACGACUAGAGUACGGUAGAGGGUGGUGGAAUUUCCGGUGUAGCGGUGAAAUGCGUAGAUAUCGGAAGGAACAUCAAUGGCGAAGGCAGCCACCUGGGCCUGUACUGACACUGAGACACGAAAGCAUGGGGAGCAAACAGGAUUAGAUACCCCAGUAGUCCCUGUCUCUUAUAC
Molecule: ribosomal RNA, 301 nt
Filed under: uncultured bacterium
Lineage: Bacteria
Description: partial 16S ribosomal RNA
Rfam family: Bacterial small subunit ribosomal RNA
Source: RNAcentral